Molecule: transfer RNA, 90 nt
Filed under: Sphagnurus paluster
Lineage: Eukaryota; Fungi; Basidiomycota; Agaricomycetes; Agaricales; Lyophyllaceae
Description: Tephrocybe palustris tRNA
Rfam family: tRNA
About the family: Transfer RNA (tRNA) molecules are approximately 80 nucleotides in length. Their secondary structure includes four short double-helical elements and three loops (D, anti-codon, and T loops). Further hydrogen bonds mediate the characteristic L-shaped molecular structure. tRNAs have two regions of fundamental functional importance: the anti-codon, which is responsible for specific mRNA codon recognition, and the 3' end, to which the tRNAs corresponding amino acid is attached (by aminoacyl-tRNA synthetases). tRNAs cope with the degeneracy of the genetic code in two manners: having more than one tRNA (with a specific anti-codon) for a particular amino acid; and 'wobble' base-pairing, i.e. permitting non-standard base-pairing at the 3rd anti-codon position.
Source: Rfam by way of RNAcentral
GGCGCUAUAGCCAAGUGGUUACGGCGACAGAUUUGAACUCUCAAUAUCUGUUCCUCUUUGAGGGCGCAGGUUCGAACCCUGCUGGCGUCG